AGUGAACGCUGGCGGUAGGCCUAACACAUGCAAGUCGAACGGCAGCACAGUAAGAGCUUGCUCUUACGGGUGGCGAGUGGCGGACGGGUGAGGAAUACAUCGGAACCUACUUUUUCGUGGGGGAUAACGUAGGGAAACUUACGCUAAUACCGCAUACGACCUACGGGUGAAAGCAUGGGAUCUUCGGACCUUGCUCGAUUGAAUGAGCCGAUGUCGGAUUAGCUAGUUGGCGGGGUAAAGGCCCACCAAGGCGACGAUCCGUAGCUGGUCUGAGAGGAUGAUCAGCCACACUGGAACUGAGACACGGUCCAGACUCCUACGGGAGGCAGCAGUGGGGAAUAUUGGACAAUGGGCGCAAGCCUGAUCCAGCCAUACCGCGUGGGUGAAGAAGGCCUUCGGGUUGUAAAGCCCUUUUGUUGGGAAAGAAAAGCAGCAGGUUAAUACCCCGCUGUUCUGACGGUACCCAAAGAAUAAGCACUGGCUAACUUCGUG
Molecule: ribosomal RNA, 492 nt
Filed under: uncultured bacterium
Lineage: Bacteria
Description: partial 16S ribosomal RNA
Rfam family: Bacterial small subunit ribosomal RNA
Source: RNAcentral